CAAAGAAAUUCCUCGUUCGAUGUAUCGCUGCUCGAAACAUUGCCAUCGAUUAUCAUGGGAUAAACGAAGCCUUGUUCUUGAUCCGUCGUGCUGUUGUGGUUGAGGUACGAAUUAGUAGUACCCAUAGUUUCUUGCCUACUCAUCUGUGGCACAUACGGAACUUUAUGUUCCGUUUCAUCGAGCAAAGACAUGAUCCUUUUCAUGUCUAAUUGGUUUUGUUGUUGUUGAUAUUGUUGUUGCUGUUGUUGCAGGAUUUGUUGCUGUUGAAAUUGUUGCCUUUUAAGUAUUCGAGCUUUUGCCUUAAUGGAGUUAUCAGGCUUUUUCUUGAAAUGGGUCCUCCAGUAGUUCUUGA
RNAcentral lists this long non-coding RNA (352 nucleotides) under Gossypium raimondii (Peruvian cotton). RNAcentral's name for it is "long non-coding RNA (GRAI_LNC005026)". Lineage: Eukaryota; Viridiplantae; Streptophyta; Magnoliopsida; Malvales; Malvaceae. The record is from RNAcentral.